GAGAAAUCAAGCGUCCACCGGCGGAGCGAGAUUAAGAUCGAGAUUCAGAAUUUCCUUUGCCGGUCGGCAGUCAACAAACGACGAUGAGUCCGAGUCGCUCUGGAUCCGGCCGGCGAACCUCGCCGUCAAAUCCACCGUCGUCGGAUCGAACCGUAUAGGGUAGCCAUGAGCGACGAACUCCGGUCUACCAAAAGCGUCCAUAAAC
Molecule: unclassified non-coding RNA, 205 nt
Filed under: Hevea brasiliensis (rubber tree)
Lineage: Eukaryota; Viridiplantae; Streptophyta; Magnoliopsida; Malpighiales; Euphorbiaceae
Source: RNAcentral